GAUGAAGAACGUAGCGAAAUGCGAUAAGUAAUGUGAAUUGCAGAAUUCAGUGAAUCAUCGAAUCUUUGAACGCACAUUGCGCCCGCCAGUAUUCUGGCGGGCAUGCCUGUUCGAGCGUCAUUUCAACCAUCAAGCCCCAGGCUUGUGUUGGGGACCUGCGGCUGCCGCAGGCCCUGAAAACCAGUGGCGGGCUCGCUGUCACACCGGGCGUAGUAGAUUUUAUCUCGCUCAGGGCGUGCUGCGGGUUCCGGCCGUUAAAAAGCCUUUUUUACCCAAGGUUGACCUCGGAUCAGGUAGGAAGUCCCGCUGAACUUAAGCAUAUCAAUAAGCGGAGGA
Molecule: unclassified non-coding RNA, 336 nt
Filed under: soil metagenome
Description: partial contains 5.8S ribosomal RNA, internal transcribed spacer 2, and large subunit ribosomal RNA
Rfam family: 5.8S ribosomal RNA (bases 1-120)
Source: RNAcentral